GUUUACGGAUUAGCGUCCGUAGACAUUUGGUCAAUUUGAAACAAUACAGAGAUGAUCAGCAGUUCCCCUGCAUAAGGAUGAACCGUUUUACAAAGAGAUUUAAUUUGUUUUU
Small nuclear RNA from Kazachstania africana CBS 2517, 112 nucleotides. NCBI's taxonomy places the organism in Eukaryota, Fungi, Ascomycota, Saccharomycetes, Saccharomycetales, Saccharomycetaceae. The record is from Rfam.